AUACGGAGGGUGCAAGCGUUAAUCGGAAUUACUGGGCGUAAAGCGCGCGUAGGCGGCUUGGCAAGUCGGAUGUGAAAUCCCGGGGCCCAACCCCGGAACUGCAUUCGAUACUGUCUCGCUAGAGUCCCGGAGAGGAAGGCAGAAUUCCCGGUGUAGAGGUGAAAUUCGUAGAUAUCGGAAGGAACACCAGUGGCGAAGGCGACUUCCUGGGCCAAUACUGACGCUGAGGUGCGAAAGCGUGGGGAGCAAACAGGAUUAGAAACCCCGGUAGUCC
This 274-nucleotide ribosomal RNA is filed under the name uncultured bacterium. RNAcentral's name for it is "partial 16S ribosomal RNA". It matches the Rfam family "Bacterial small subunit ribosomal RNA", at positions 523 to 796 of the family's 1533-position model. The record is from RNAcentral.